This 21-nucleotide unclassified non-coding RNA is filed under the name Mus musculus (house mouse). RNAcentral describes it as "oocyte_clustered_small_RNA13681". Lineage: Eukaryota; Metazoa; Chordata; Mammalia; Rodentia; Muridae. The record is from RNAcentral.
UGCUCCUUGGUCAGCAAUGCA